Molecule: ribosomal RNA, 882 nt
Filed under: uncultured bacterium
Lineage: Bacteria
Description: bacterial SSU rRNA
Rfam family: Bacterial small subunit ribosomal RNA
Source: RNAcentral
AGAGUUUGAUCCUGGCUCAGGAUGAACGCUGGCGGCGUGCCUAACACAUGCAAGUCGAGCGAUUUACUUCGGUAAAGAGCGGCGGACGGGUGAGUAACGCGUGGAAAACCUGCCGUAUACCGGGGGAUAACACUUAGAAAUAGGUGCUAAUACCGCAUAAGCGCAUAGCUUCGCAUGAGGCAGUGUGAAAAACUCCGGUGGUAUACGAUGGUUCCGCGUCUGAUUAGCUAGUUGGCGGGGUAACGGCCCACCAAGGCAGCGAUCAGUAGCCGGCCUGAGAGGGUGAACGGCCACAUUGGGACUGAGACACGGCCCAAACUCCUACGGGAGGCAGCAGUGGGGAAUAUUGCACAAUGGGGGAAACCCUGAUGCAGCGACGCCGCGUGAGUGAAGAAGUAUUUCGGUACGUAAAGCUCUAUCAGCAGGGAAGAAAAUGACGGUACCUGACCAAGAAGCCCCGGCUAACUACGUGCCAGCAGCCGCGGUAAUACGUAGGGGGCAAGCGUUAUCCGGAUUUACUGGGUGUAAAGGGAGCGUAGACGGCAGCGCAAGUCUGGAGUGAAAUGCCGGGGCCCAACCCCGGAACUGCUUUGGAAACUGUGCAGCUUGAGUGCAGGAGAGGUAAGCGGAAUUCCUAGUGUAGCGGUGAAAUGCGUAGAUAUUAGGAGGAACACCAGUGGCGAAGGCGGCUUACUGGACUGUAACUGACGUUGAGGCUCGAAAGCGUGGGGAGCAAACAGGAUUAGAUACCCUGGUAGUCCACGCCGUAAACGAUGAUUACUAGGUGUCGGGGGACCAAGGUGCUCCGGUGCCGGCGCAAACGCAUUAAGUAAUCCACCUGGGGAGUACGUUCGCAAGAAUGAAACUCAAAGGAAUUGACGG